CGCGGGGUGGAGCAGCUGGUAGCUUACCGGGCUCAUAACCCGGACGUCGUAGGUUCAAAUCCUACCCCCGCAACCA
RNAcentral lists this transfer RNA (76 nucleotides) under Bacillota bacterium. Its description in RNAcentral is "tRNA-Met". It matches the Rfam family "tRNA". From Rfam's summary of the family: Transfer RNA (tRNA) molecules are approximately 80 nucleotides in length. Their secondary structure includes four short double-helical elements and three loops (D, anti-codon, and T loops). The record is from RNAcentral. Lineage: Bacteria; Bacillati; Bacillota.